GGUAAUAAGAGUGGAUGGCGGAUGCCUUGACACUAAACGGCGACGAAGGACGUAGCGUAGUUGCGAUAAGCCUCGGGGAGGUGCGUAGCAACCCGUGAUCCGGGGAUUUCCGAAUGGGGAAACCCUGCGACGGCGAAACCUCGCAAGCGCCGUUCCGCCGCGAAAUUAAAAAUAAAAAAUAAAAAACCAAAAAUAAAAACGUAAAAAUAUAAAAAUGUUUUUAAGUUUUAGAAAUUUUUUAAAUUUUUAAUUUGUGUUUUUUAUUUUUAAUAUUUGAUUUUUGAUUUCGCCGCGGAGCGGCGUGGCGUACCCGCUGAAGUGAAACAUCUCAGUAAGCGGAGGAAAAUAAAAAAAUGCGGGCUUUGUCUAAAUUUUCAAGCUGUAAGGCGUAGAAAAUUUAGAGACAAAGGCCAACACCCCGCCCUCUAAGCCCGUGGAAUUAAGCAAAGAUAAAUUAGAAUUAUCUUUAUUUAGUAAAUUUGAGAUUAAGCUUGGUUCAACGUGCAUAGAGGGCGGGGUCAAGGUCUCGUUGCUAAAAAUUCUUCGCUUUCAGCUCGAAUUUUUAGACGAAGCCCUUGAUUCCCCUAGUAGCGGCGAGCGAAAAGGGAGAAGCCCAAACCCAGUAUAUAAAUUUUAAAAUUUAUGUGCUGGGGGUAAUAAGGUAAAAACAUACUUAGGCGAUUUCCAAUUUCUAACUUCUAAAUAAAAAGUUAGGAGUUGGCAGUUACCCGAGAGAAGAGUUAUAAAAUGACCCUCAGCCCGCAAGGGCCGGAUCUCUUGAUUAUUAAAAGUGAUUGGGGGAUUUCCUAGCUGAAGUCUCUGGAAAGAGACACCAAAGAUGGUGAUAGUCCAGUAAGCGAAAGGAAGUCAUCUCUUCGUUUUUAUCCUUGAGUAUCCCGACGAAAGAAAACUUCGGGAAAAUUAGCCAGAGCUAUCUGGCAAGGCUAAAUACGUUUGGUGAUCGAUAGUGAACAAGUACCGUGAGGGAAAGGUGAAAAGCAGGCCGGUUAGGCCGGUGAAAUAGAACCUGAAACCAUCCACUUACAAGGAAGCGAA
Molecule: ribosomal RNA, 1056 nt
Filed under: Candidatus Jorgensenbacteria bacterium CG_4_8_14_3_um_filter_38_10
Lineage: Bacteria; Candidatus Joergenseniibacteriota
Description: partial 23S ribosomal RNA
Rfam family: Bacterial large subunit ribosomal RNA
Source: RNAcentral